UGCCAGCCGCCGCGGUAAUACGGAGGGUCCCAGCGUUAUCCGGAUUUAUUGGGUUUAAAGGGUCCGUAGGCGGGACAAUAAGUCAGUGGUGAAAGCCUGCAGCUUAACUGCAGAACUGCCAUUGAAACUGUUGUUCUUGAAUUUAGAUGAAGUGGGCGGAAUAUAUCAUGUAGCGGUGAAAUGCAUAGAUAUGAUAUAGAACACCGAUUGCGAAGGCAGCUCACUAAACUAAUAUUGACGCUGAGGGACGAAAGCGUGGGGAGCGAACAGGAUUAGAUA
This 279-nucleotide ribosomal RNA is filed under the name uncultured bacterium. Its description in RNAcentral is "partial 16S ribosomal RNA". It matches the Rfam family "Bacterial small subunit ribosomal RNA", at positions 506 to 784 of the family's 1533-position model. The record is from RNAcentral.